This 263-nucleotide ribosomal RNA is filed under the name Rhipicephalus sanguineus (brown dog tick). RNAcentral describes it as "partial large subunit ribosomal RNA". RNAcentral also lists the same sequence under 1 other name. The record is from RNAcentral. Lineage: Eukaryota; Metazoa; Arthropoda; Arachnida; Ixodida; Ixodidae.
AUUUUAAUUGAAUGCUAAGAGAAUGGGAAUACAGGAAAAAACUUUUUUUAAAUUAAAAAUUGAAAUUUUUUUAAUUUGUGCAGAAACAAUUAUUAAUAUUAAGGACAAGAAGACCCUAUGAAUUUAUUAAAUUUUAUUUAAUAUGUAAUUACUAUUAGAAAAAUUUUGGCUGGGGCGGCUAAAAAAUAUUUUAAACUUUUUAAAAAUAAAAUGAUCCAUUAUUAAUGAUUAUAUGUUAAAUACUCUAGGGAUAACAGCGUAAA